RNAcentral lists this non-coding RNA (29 nucleotides) under Rattus norvegicus (Norway rat). The record is from RNAcentral. Lineage: Eukaryota; Metazoa; Chordata; Mammalia; Rodentia; Muridae.
UUUGAAAUUGGAUGAUUUGACUAUUUGAU